This 480-nucleotide ribosomal RNA is filed under the name uncultured bacterium. RNAcentral's name for it is "partial 16S ribosomal RNA". It matches the Rfam family "Bacterial small subunit ribosomal RNA", at positions 28 to 507 of the family's 1533-position model. The record is from RNAcentral.
GAUGAACGCUAGCGGCAGGCCUAACACAUGCAAGUCGAGGGGUAGAAGGAGCUUGCUCCUUUGAGGCCGGCGCCCGGGUGCGUAACGCGUAUGCAAUCUACCUUGUACAGGGGUAUAGCCCAGAGAAAUUUGGAUUAAUGCCCCAUAGUAUAUAACCUUCGCAUGUUGGUUAUAUUAAAGUUCCAACGGUACAAGAUGAGCAUGCAUUCCAUUAGUUAGUUGGUAAGGUAACGGCUUAACAAGACGCAGAUGGGUAGGGGUCCUGAUGGUGAGAUCCACCACACUUGAACUGAGACACGGACCACACUACUACGGGAGGCAGCAGUGAGGAAUAGUAGUGAAUGGUCGCAAGACUGAACCAGCCGUGCCGCGUGCAGAAAGACGGUCCUAUGGAUUGUAAACUGCUUUUAUACAGGAAGAAACCCUCCCACGUGUGGGAGCUUGACGGUACUGUAGGAAUAAGGAUCGGCUAACUCCGUG